This 329-nucleotide unclassified non-coding RNA is filed under the name soil metagenome. RNAcentral's name for it is "partial contains 5.8S ribosomal RNA, internal transcribed spacer 2, and large subunit ribosomal RNA". The stretch from base 1 to 120 matches the Rfam family "5.8S ribosomal RNA", at positions 35 to 154 of the family's 154-position model. The record is from RNAcentral.
GAUGAAGAACGUAGCGAAAUGCGAUAAGUAGUGUGAAUUGCAGAAUUCAGUGAAUCAUCGAAUCUUUGAACGCACAUUGCGCCCCUUGGUAUCCCGAGGGGCAUGCCUGUUCGAGCGUCAUUUCACCACUCAAGCCUGGCUUGGUGUUGGGCGACGUCCCCUUUGGGGACGCGCCUCGAAACGCUCGGCGGCGUGGCACCGGCUUUAAGCGUAGCAGAAUCUUUCGCUUUGGAAGUCGGGGCCCCGUCUGCCGGAAGACCUACUCGCAAGGUUGACCUCGGAUCAGGUAGGAUUACCCGCUGAACUUAAGCAUAUCAAUAAGCGGAGGA